AUUAAGCAGUUGGAGGUGAGAGUGGGGUCAAAUAUUCCCAGGUAAUUGGCAUUCCCACCUCUUUCUUCUUUCAGUUACCAAUCCAAGAGCCUCCAGUGACCACAUCAUGGGAUCUACUUGCCCAAAUUCUGUGCUAUCUGAAUGUCUCUCAAGUAUUUAUAUGGCUAAAGCUUACAACAUCAAGGCCUAUUCAAAGGCUUUUAUUUGUGAGGUGUUAUUUGCCAAGCAGGCUGGCAUUGUUUGGAAUGUGGAACAUAUGGAUUUGUCUACCCUCCUCCAUUGGCCUUCCUGGGAUCUGUCAUCUAUGAAUUUUCCAUAUAAAGCUGAUGCUGAGUGGGGGUUGGGGACAAUUUGAGGCCAGC
This is a long non-coding RNA of Phascolarctos cinereus (koala), 362 nucleotides long. The record is from Ensembl. NCBI's taxonomy places the organism in Eukaryota, Metazoa, Chordata, Mammalia, Diprotodontia, Phascolarctidae.